Molecule: ribosomal RNA, 835 nt
Filed under: human gut metagenome
Description: bacterial SSU rRNA
Rfam family: Bacterial small subunit ribosomal RNA
Source: RNAcentral
UACCUGACUAAGAAGCACCGGCUAAAUACGUGCCAGCAGCCGCGGUAAUACGUAUGGUGCAAGCGUUAUCCGGAUUUACUGGGUGUAAAGGGAGCGUAGGUGGCAAGGCAAGCCAGAAGUGAAAACCCGGGGCUCAACCGCGGGAUUGCUUUUGGAACUGUCAUGCUAGAGUGCAGGAGGGGUGAGCGGAAUUCCUAGUGUAGCGGUGAAAUGCGUAGAUAUUAGGAGGAACACCGGAGGCGAAGGCGGCUCACUGGACUGUAACUGACACUGAGGCUCGAAAGCGUGGGGAGCAAACAGGAUUAGAUACCCUGGUAGUCCACGCGGUAAACGAUGAAUACUAGAUGUCGGGUAGCAAAGCUACUCGGUGUCGUCGCAAACGCAAUAAGUAUUCCACCUGGGGAGUACGUUCGCAAGAAUGAAACUCAAAGGAAUUGACGGGGACCCGCACAAGCGGUGGAGCAUGUGGUUUAGUAAUGCUUCUAGCCCUUCGGGGGAAUGGAGACAGGUGGUGCAUGGUUGUCGUCAGCUCGUGUCGUGAGAUGUUGGGUUAAGUCCCGCAACGAGCGCAACCCUUAUUGUCAGUAGCCAGCAGGUGAAGCUGGGCACUCUGAUGAGACUGCCGGGGAUAACCCGGAGGAAGGUGGGGAUGACGUCAAAUCAUCAUGCCCCUUAUGAGCAGGGCUACACACGUGCUACAAUGGCGUAAACAGAGGGAAGCGAAGGAGUGAUCUGGAGCAAAUCUCAAAAAUAACGUCUCAGUUCGGAUUGUAGUCUGCAACUCGACUACAUGAAGCUGGAAUCGCUAGUAAUCGCAGAUCAGAAUGCUGCGGUG